CGGAUCGGCCCCGAAAAUUGAUGGCGCUCGAACGCAACCCUCGAACCCCGCCGACGGAGGCUAGGGGAGGCCCCGUCGAGUAGGCGGACGCGCGGGUCGCUUCGACGCUCUCGCGCGAGCGGGGGCGGAGCGGCCCGUGGUGCAGAUCUUGGUGGUAGUAGCGAUCACCCAGGCGAGAACCCUGAGGGCCGAAGUGGAGAAGGGUUUCCCGAGAACGGCACUCGCUCGAGAGUUAGUCGAUCCUAAGCUGCCGGCGGCAGCCACGAAACGGUCGAUCGGGCGCGAGCCCGGCAGCCACGACCGGGCAGCGAAAGGGAAUUGGGAACCUCCUUCCCAAACCCGGAACCCGGAACGAGGGCGGCGACGCGAACGAAACGGCCGCGGAGACGGCGGCCGCGGCCCCGGAGAGAGUUCUCUUUUCUGUGCGACUGGACGUCGGCCCCGGAAUCGCGUCGAGCGG
This 460-nucleotide ribosomal RNA is filed under the name uncultured eukaryote. RNAcentral describes it as "eukaryotic LSU rRNA". It matches the Rfam family "Eukaryotic large subunit ribosomal RNA", at positions 1302 to 1738 of the family's 3401-position model. The record is from RNAcentral.